This 800-nucleotide long non-coding RNA is filed under the name Aotus nancymaae (Ma's night monkey). RNAcentral describes it as "lncRNA (ENSANAG00000038658.1)". Lineage: Eukaryota; Metazoa; Chordata; Mammalia; Primates; Aotidae. The record is from RNAcentral.
UUUUGUUUUAUUUUUGUUACCAGGCAAUCAGUAUCAAGCCUUUUGGAAUGAUAUAUGCCAGCUGGGUUUUGUGCCUCAUCACACUGGCAGAGAGAAGAGUAUGAAGCCUGCUUGGAGAAGCGGAGGAAGCUGAAAAGGAGGCAAAGAGUGAGGACAGAGAGACAAGAUGGAAGUGGGGAAGGAAAACAAGGAUGAGAGAAUGCCAGGUGGUGCUGAGAAGGAAAGGAGAGACUUUUCUGCUUGUAGAGGGCACACGAUGGCAGAAUCCACUUCUGCAGGGGCAUCUGGCUCCAGAAAUAAUAGGCCGCGUGGCACCCACUCCUUCAAAACGGUGUGCUGGGGCAGAGAAAAGAUUGCAAAUGACUGAUCUAUGUCACAAGAACAAUUCACUAGACAGCCCUAGUUGCCUAAGGCAAGGAGUGGUAACAGUUGUGGGAAACACCUUGCCUAUUUCAGAAGAAUGAAGGUAAAGAUUUUCAUUCCACAGUUUAUAAUGCUUUUUUUCUGGAAAAUGACAUGUUAUUCCUGUGUGUUUGUCAUGUAGAUGACUCUAGUAUUUGGCCAGAGAUCCAGGGUUGAAAAUCCUUGAGUUCUGUGCAGCUGCUGCCACUUCCUGUGAUGAUUCCUAGAGAAAUAUAGAGAUACAAGUAAUGCAGAGCAUGUUCUAUAGUUCUUUUUUUUUCUUUUUAUUUUAUUUUAUUUUAUUUUUUUUUAUUGCAUUUUAGGUUUUGGGGUACAUGUGAAAAACAUGCAAGUUGUUGCAUAGGUACACACGUGGCAGUGUGAUUUGCUGCCUUCCU